Molecule: ribosomal RNA, 1320 nt
Filed under: Candidatus Phytoplasma citri
Lineage: Bacteria; Bacillati; Mycoplasmatota; Mollicutes; Acholeplasmatales; Acholeplasmataceae
Description: bacterial SSU rRNA
Rfam family: Bacterial small subunit ribosomal RNA
Source: RNAcentral
GAAACAUUGUGGCUUUAAGACUGGAUAGGAAGAAAUAAGGCAUCUUAUUUCUUUUAAAAGACCUAGUAAUAGGUAUACUUUAGGAGGGGCUUGCGCCAUAUUAGUUAGUUGGUAGGGUAAUGGCCUACCAAGACGAUGAUGUGUAGCUGGACUGAGAGGUUGAACAGCCACAUUGGGAUUCUGAGACACGGCCCAAACUCCUACGGGAGGCAGCAGUAAGGAAUUUUCGGCAAUGGAGGAAACUUUCUGACCUUGAGCAACGCCGCGUGAACGACGAAGUACUUUGGUAUGUAAAGUUCUUUUAUCAUUAGGAAGAAAAGCAAGUGGCGAACCAUUUGUUUGCCGGUACUUGAUGAAUAAGCCCCGGCUAAUUAUGUGCCAGCAGCCUUGCGGUAAGACAUAAGGGGCAAGUGUUAUCCGGAAUUAUUGGGCGUAAAGGGUGCGUAGGCGGUCUAGUAAGUCAGUGGUGUAAUGGCAACGCUCAACGUUGUCCGGCUAUUGAAACUGCUAAACUUGAGUUAGAUAGAGGCGAGUGGAUUGGAUUCCAUGUUUGUAGCGGUAAAAUGCGUAAAUAUAUGGAGGAACACCAGAGGCUUGUAGGUUCGGCUCGCUGGGUCUUAACUGACGCUGAGGCACGAAAGCGUGGGGAGCAAACAGGAUUAGAUACCCUGGUAGUCCACGCAAAACGUAAACGAUGAGUACUAAUUGUGUCGGGUUAAACCGGUACUGAAGUUAACUUACAUUAUUUUUAGUUUACUCCGCCUGAGUAGUACGUACGCAAGUAUAAUUGAAACUUAAAGGAAUUGACGGGACUCCGCACAAGCGGUGGAUCAUGUUGUUUAAUUCGAAGAUACCCGAAAAACCUUACCAGGUCUUGACAUGUUUUUGCGAAACGUUGUAGUAAUAUCGUAGAGGUUAUCAGAAACACAGGUGGUGCAUGGUUGUUUUCGUCAGCUCGUGUCGUGAGAUGUUAGGUUAAGUCCUUUAAAACGUUAGCGAAACCCUUAUCGUUAGUUGCCAGCACGUUAUGGUGGGGACUUUAACGAGACUGCCAGUGAUAAACUGGAGGAAGGUGAGGAUCACGAAUUUUUCAAAUCAGCAUGCCCCUUAUGACCUGGGCUACAUUAACGUGAUACAAUGGCUGUUUUACAAAGGGUAGCUGAAACGUAAGUUCUUGGCCAAUCCCCAAAAACAGUCUCAGUCCGGAUUGAAGUCUGUUCAACUCCGUUAAAAAGACUUCAUGAAGUUGGAAUCGCUAGUAAUCGCGAAUCAGCAUGUCGCGGUGAAUACGUUCUCGGGGUUUGUACACACCGCCCGUCA